This 440-nucleotide ribosomal RNA is filed under the name uncultured bacterium. RNAcentral's name for it is "partial 16S ribosomal RNA". It matches the Rfam family "Bacterial small subunit ribosomal RNA", at positions 338 to 795 of the family's 1533-position model. The record is from RNAcentral.
CCUACGGGGGGCUGCAGUAGGGAAUAUUGCUCAAUGGGGGAAACCCUGAAGCAGCAACGCCGCGUGGAGGAUGAAGGCUUUAGGAUUGUAAACUCCUUUUGUGCGAGAAGAUAAUGACGGUAUCUCACGAAUAAGCACCGGCUGACUCCGUGCCAGCAGCCGCGGUACUACGGAGGGGGCAAGCGUUACUCGGAAUCACUGGGGGUAAAGAGUGCGCAGGCGGGUUUGUAAGGCAGAUGUGAAAUCCUGUGGCUUAACUACAGAACUGCAUUUGAAACUAUGAGUCUAGAGUGUGGGAGAGGUAGGUGGAAUUCUUGGUGUAGGGGUAAAAUCCGUAGAUAUCAAGAAGAAUACUCAUUGCGAAGGCGACCUACUGGAACAUUUCUGACGCUCAGGCACGAAAGCGUGGGGAGCAAACAGGAUUAGAUACCCCUGUAGUC